RNAcentral lists this long non-coding RNA (2014 nucleotides) under Coffea arabica (coffee). RNAcentral describes it as "long non-coding RNA (CARA_LNC007388)". Lineage: Eukaryota; Viridiplantae; Streptophyta; Magnoliopsida; Gentianales; Rubiaceae. The record is from RNAcentral.
UCCUGUCCCCCAGGUUGGUUAAGUGGUCCUGGACCCUGUCUCUCAACUAAGCAUUCAAGGAUAUCAGUCAUCCUAUUGAUGGCAGUAGCCACUUGGUUACCCUCUACAUUCUCUUGCCCUUGCAUCAGUCCAAUUGCCGACCCUUGUGCAUUCCUUUGAGAUUGGGCUUGUCUAGACUCUCGCCCACGACCCACCCCGAGCACUCUUUCGUCCGUCCAUAAUUCUAAUGGUGCCUAGUGCAAGAAAUAAAAAUGAUCAUGCGAGAAAAUACCCAAAACAAGAGCCAAUCAAGAAACAUUGAAAAUAACAAUAAUUUACAUUCAUUAACACUUCAAGAUCCAUACAAUUAGUAAGUCAUGGGGGAGUACAAAAAUACAGCACACAAGUGCCACAAAAGUACUUUUAGUCACGUACGACUAAAGUAAGUUAAGUGCCUCAAAAGUAGGCCACACAGUCAUACAAAAUACAAUGGCCUUGGCACUAGCAUCACCCCAGCUAACUUUGACAAAACAUUAAAGUAGACUAAGUCACUAGUUUAGUGAUUGGUGAAGCCAGAAGUCUCUGCUACUUCAGUAGGAUCAUUUUCAUUUCCUACACAAGAAGUUUUAAUCUCAUGUCUCUUAUCGAGUAUCUUGUCAUUCUCCACUUGUUCAACCAAGGUAACACACCCAGCCAUCGACUUAUCUGUCCAGUCUCUAAUUUCGUGUACUACCCUAGCACGUCGAUUCUUAGCUUUUUGAAGCUGCUCACUAGGAGCCUUUGUCUUUUCCUCACUCCUCAAGUACCUCCGUCUCCACUUUAGAAAUUCUAGUAAUCUGGGCAUCCACAAUUGCCCUCAGUUCUCGAUUAUCUUCUCGAACUACUUUAGUUUCCUCGAAUAAUCUCCUCCGAUUUUCGGUUAUCGCUAAUAUCACAUUAUUUAAGUACAAGUAAGUCCUCUAGCAAUCACAUGGAGUCCAAGUUCGGCAAGUUGGGUUAUACCUCCAACGAGCUCCCCUAAGCCGUUCCCGACAAUGGCCACCAGAAUGCGUCCCCGAGACGGUUCAAUACCACCGUUACCUUCCGUAACUUACAAUUAAAAUUGAAAAUUUAAAUGAGUCCAAGUAUACUACAUAAACUGGAUUUGAUCAUCUCAUACUAUCCCACAUAUCUCUUACAAGAUCGAGACUCCCAAUUGUCCAUUAAUUCAAACCUAGGUUCUAAUUUUCAUCCCCACAAGCGGUCACUUAACUUCUCAACCAAUCCCAUAGUCCGGCAUUCUAAACUGUCGCGCCCCAUUUUUUGAUAAAUAAAAAUAAUGGUUUGAGAAAGAUGUUUUUGAUUCAAUUUUGAUUGGAAAAUGAUUUUGUGAGUUGAAAAAGAUAUGGGUCUAAUAUGGGACUUGAAAAAGCGACGAUUUGACCCAAAAAAUAGUUUUAAAAAGGGUUUUGAAAUGAAAAGUUUGGAGUCGCCACUUGGUAAUGAUUUAAGGUGUACCAAGUCACCUAAAAAAUGAGUUUUAAAGUCAAGUAAUAAUAAAACCUUUUUAAAACGACUCCUAGUCUACGUAAAACAAAGAAAAAGGUUCGGGAGUCACGUUUGACAAAGGGGAAGGCAAUGAUAGACUCCAAGGCACCCCUUUGACCUAGCCAAGGCUAGUUGCGUGACUUAACCCUAACUUUCCUAACUUUCUACCCAGGGUAUGCAUUGCAUGUUGGAUUAUGCCUAUAUGAAUGCGAAAACGAAAAAAUGCAAUCCUAAAUUCUAUGAUGUCUCUCGUGAGGUUUUUGGUCCCAAACCAUAUGAAUUGUGGCGGCCAAUAAAGGAAAACCUCAUAGAGGUCGAUUAAUGCAAAUGAGAGUCAAAUUCAAGUGUGCAAGUGUGAAAGUGUAUGAAAGAUGCAAGAAAUGUAAGUGCAAGUGUGCGAAUGUAUAAAAAAGGUGCAUGUGUGAAUUUGGAUGAAAAUCAAAGUGUUUGUGUGUGCAAAUGAAUGAAGAUAGAAUAGUACAUAUAUAAGUGAAACUUGAAUUUCAUU